GGAAAUCACGUACCGGCGGACGGGGUAAGCCGGAGGUGGGAAGCGUGGGCCGGAUUUAUUGGGCGUAAAGGGCGCGCAGGCGGUUCGUGAAGUCCGAGGUGAAAUCGCUGGGCUCAACUGGGAGGGGGCUUCGGAGACUGGCGGACUUGAGGAGUACAGAGGUGAGUGGAAUUCUGGGUGUAGUGGUGAAAUGCGUAGAUAUCCAGAGGAACACCAGCGGCGAAGGCGGCUCACUGGGUACCACCUGACGCUGAGGCGCGAAAGCGUGGGGAGCGAACCGGAUUAGAUACCCUUGUAGUC
RNAcentral lists this ribosomal RNA (300 nucleotides) under uncultured Lactobacillus sp. Its description in RNAcentral is "bacterial SSU rRNA". It matches the Rfam family "Bacterial small subunit ribosomal RNA", at positions 496 to 795 of the family's 1533-position model. The record is from RNAcentral. Lineage: Bacteria; Bacillati; Bacillota; Bacilli; Lactobacillales; Lactobacillaceae.